Molecule: ribosomal RNA, 460 nt
Filed under: uncultured bacterium
Lineage: Bacteria
Description: partial 16S ribosomal RNA
Rfam family: Bacterial small subunit ribosomal RNA
Source: RNAcentral
CCUACGUGAGGCAGCAGUGAGGAAUAUUGGUCAAUGGGCUUACGCCUGAACCAGCCAAGUCGCGUGAGGGAAGACUGCCCUAUGGGUUGUAAACCUCUUUUGUCAGGGAGCAACGCCGGCUACGUGUAGCCGGACUGAGAGUACCUGAAGAAAAAGCAUCGGCUAACUCCGUGCCAGCAGCCGCGGUAAUACGGAGGAUGCGAGCGUUAUCCGGAUUUAGUGGGUUUAAAGGGUGCGUAGGCGGAAUGCCAAGUCAGCGGUAAAAUCGCGGGGCUCAACCUCGCUCCGCCGUUGAAAAUGGCGUUCUUGAGUGGGCGAGAAGUAUGCGGAAUGCGUGGUGUAGCGGUGACAUGCAUAGAUAUCACGCAGAACUCCGAUUGCGAAGGCAGCUCACUGGACUGCAACUGACACUGAGGCUCGAAAGUGUGGGUAUCAAACAGGAUUAGAUACCCCGGUAGUC